RNAcentral lists this ribosomal RNA (255 nucleotides) under uncultured bacterium. RNAcentral's name for it is "partial 16S ribosomal RNA". It matches the Rfam family "Bacterial small subunit ribosomal RNA", at positions 524 to 776 of the family's 1533-position model. The record is from RNAcentral.
UACGGGGGGAGCAAGCGUUGUUCGGAUUUACUGGGCGUAAAGGGCGCGUAGGCGGCCACCGCAAGUCGACUGUGAAAUCUCCGGGCUUAACUCGGAAAGGUCAGCCGAUACUGCGGGGCUAGAGUGCAGAAGGGGGCAACUGGAAUUCUCGGUGUAGCGGUGAAAUGCGUAGAUAUCGAGAAGAACACCGGUGGCGAAGGCGGCCAUCUGGACGGUGACUGACGCUGAGACGCGAAAGCGUGGGGAGCAAACAGG